GACGAACGCUGGCGGCGUGCUUAACACAUGCAAGUCGAACGGAAAGGCCCUGCUUGCAGGGUACUCGAGUGGCGAACGGGUGAGUAACACGUGGGUGAUCUGCCCUGCACUUCGGGAUAAGCCUGGGAAACUGGGUCUAAUACCGGAUAGGAGCCAUUUUUAGUGUGAUGGUUGGAAAGUUUUUUCGGUGUAGGAUGAGCUCGCGGCCUAUCAGCUUGUUGGUGGGGUAAUGGCCUACCAAGGCGGCGACGGGUAGCCGGCCUGAGAGGGUGGACGGCCACAUUGGGACUGAGAUACGGCCCAGACUCCUACGGGAGGCAGCAGUGGGGAAGAUUGCACAAUGGGCGCAAGCCUGAUGCAGCGACGCCACGUGGGGGAUGACGGCCUUCGGGUUGUAAACUCCUUUCGCUAGGGACGAAGCUUUUUGUGACGGUACCUAGAUAAGAAGCACCGGCUAACUACGUG
RNAcentral lists this ribosomal RNA (465 nucleotides) under uncultured bacterium. Its description in RNAcentral is "partial 16S ribosomal RNA". It matches the Rfam family "Bacterial small subunit ribosomal RNA", at positions 28 to 507 of the family's 1533-position model. The record is from RNAcentral.